UGUUAUUUCUCCAGAUGGUUGCACUUCUAAGAAAACUGCUUGCCUGCCACUUGCUUGGUGGGAGAGAUUCCUCACAAUAAGGGACUGCAGGAAGAAGCUCUCGAACCAGCCAAGAGGCUGACACGAUGAAGUCACGAACGCUUCGAGUUUCGGUCAUAAUGCACGGAUCUGACUAUAACCAGGGGAUGUUCCACGAGCUAAAGCCUCCAUUCUCUUUGAUCCGUGACUGUCCCAAACCUGAAACAUGCUACUGACCGUAACUUUACUGUGGAUUUUACUUUUUUUUUUAAACUACUAUGAAUUCUAGCCUCCAGCUGGCAAGUGAGGGAAUACAAUUUUCAGCCUACAACAGACAUAGGCUCGACUCCAAGGUUUGGAACCACCAAGACAUCCACGGACCAAGCUAAACGUGACACCUAGCAGUCUCUGAUUGACCUCCAGGCAGACAGAACUGCUGUUUUAGCAAAAAAGUCGACUAUCCAACCUGCUCAUAGUGACAGACAAGAGAGAAUCUUGGAGGAGAGAUGCAAGUUGUUCAAAGAAGGGUCAACUUUAGGUACUAGAGCAAGAGCCACACAAUAAAUCAAGGGACAGUCGUCAUUGCGUACAAUGUUGAGAACUGCAGAGGAAUACUUGGAUGCACUAUUUGAUAACAGAGGGAGUUGUUCGCUGGAGCAGGCUCACGACUGCACAACGCCUCCCCGAGACCACUGUAGAAGGAGCUGAAGCCUUUCAGAUGGUGUAUCAACCUUUGAAUCAAGUCAUCUCUCUCUGGAUUAUAGUCACUGAUUUUCUCACCUGCGGAGACCAGCCAGAGUCUCAUCAGAAUCUGAGGGCUGAGCAUCACGAGCCACAGACACAGCAGGAGGCUGAUGAAGAGGAGGGGUCUCAACAGAUCGGGAGGCUCGCUUAGUAGCGUGUCCACACAUGCUGCUCACCUGCAGAGCAGAGAAGCAGAGAACCGGCGCUGAGUGAGCGAAUUAAAUCCCCUGAACCACCUCACCCCACUUCUGUUUCAAGCCCAACCUGUUUAUUUCAAGUCCAAUAAGAAGUGAUGCUUCAGAAAACAAGAACCUGUCAGCAGCCAAACCGGCAGCGUGUUUUUCACUGAGCCCCUUUGCAAAUUGUCAUCUGUUUUCAGUAUGUUUGUUUAUUUUUCGGAAGGAUGGAAGUGGGGGGGGGGAUUUGCAUAACAAACAAGUCAUUGGAUCCUCUGCCUUGUUCAAAUUUGUAAUCAUAACUCUCCAAAAAAAACAUGAGCUUGAGACUGAGGCCCCCGGUUCUCUGGGCCUGUCCAUUGUCUCUUCACAUGGGAUGACAUUAAAAUAACAAAUAAGGAGUCCCUCUCUGUCUUGCAGAGAUAAUGGAGCUGGCACAUUCUUUUCAGGUGCAAUAAAAAUGCAAAUGGCUGUUAAUGUUUAGCUUGUGAUUUAAUGAUUUGGCGGAUCCUUAAUUUCCCCUGGGGAUACUGGUCGAGGCUGAAUUCUGCCAUGUAAUGUUAACAGCUAAUUGUGCCCAGCUCCCCUUUAAGUGAGCUGCCUGGUAAGACUGCUGCUGAAUACCAAUGUGGCCGGAUGGAGCAACAUGGUAUAGCUUCAUCUGGUUGGAACAGGAGCCACACACACACACUGAUGCAAACACACACACACACACACACACACACACACACACACACACACACACACACAGGCAUGCAUGUUUUACAACUUAAACAAAAGUCCCUUCAUCUAUUAUUCACUUGAGUAAUGCACCUGAGCCCUUGAACAUGACACAGUUCUACAUUAUAUACGCACAACAAGCACACACACACAUUACUUAAGCACACACUUUUAUUCAUCUAAUGCUGACACGCUAAAACGAUUAUUGCCUAGAAAACAGAUUUAUCAGGGUUAAUCUAUUCAGAGAUGUCAUGCAAGGAUCCAGCCAUAAACACAGCACAGGAAACACCAAGUCAUCCCAAACCCUGUCCUCAACCUCACAACUAACCGUAACAGGGACCCUGGAAAACAUAUUCUGCCCUCUUAGCACUGAUCUUUGGUGCCUGUGAGGCCGGCUUAUGGCGGCAAGAUCUGGGUUCACACUGAGAGGGUCUUAAAGAAGGGACAUAAAUGAGCAGCAAAAAACAUCCCCUCAUGUAAACAUUGUGUGGGCCAAUAAUAUUGCAACUUUACUCUAAGCCAGGGGAGAUACGUAGCUCUAGAGCAGAGGUCUUCAAGCUGUGGCCCUGAAGCCACCUGCACAGUUGUUCUUAUUAACAUGCUGUAAAACUGAGAAGUAUUUUUCAGAUAUAAAACUUGUAAAAAAAUCUAACUUCAACUGAUUUUGUGUUUUCUAUGCAAAAGCUGCAUAAUAUUUCGCUAAAAUUAUACUAAUGGUUCAAGGGCAAAAAUGUAACUACACUUUUUUCUGUCUUAGGUUUUCAAUAUUAAAGUGAUUGACUUCUCUUUUUGUAA
Girardinichthys multiradiatus is the source of this 2453-nucleotide long non-coding RNA. RefSeq lists it as uncharacterized. The transcript is spliced from 5 exons. The record is from RefSeq and is a predicted model, not a curated record. NCBI's taxonomy places the organism in Eukaryota, Metazoa, Chordata, Actinopteri, Cyprinodontiformes, Goodeidae.